This 904-nucleotide ribosomal RNA is filed under the name Staphylococcus aureus. RNAcentral describes it as "partial 23S ribosomal RNA". It matches the Rfam family "Bacterial large subunit ribosomal RNA", at positions 482 to 1394 of the family's 2925-position model. Lineage: Bacteria; Bacillati; Bacillota; Bacilli; Caryophanales; Staphylococcaceae. The record is from RNAcentral.
GACCGAUAGUGAACCAGUACCGUGAGGGAAAGGUGAAAAGCACCCCGGAAGGGGAGUGAAAUAGAACCUGAAACCGUGUGCUUACAAGUAGUCAGAGCCCGUUAAUGGGUGAUGGCGUGCCUUUUGUAGAAUGAACCGGCGAGUUACGAUUUGAUGCAAGGUUAAGCAGUAAAUGUGGAGCCGUAGCGAAAGCGAGUCUGAAUAGGGCGUUUAGUAUUUGGUCGUAGACCCGAAACCAGGUGAUCUACCCUUGGUCAGGUUGAAGUUCAGGUAACACUGAAUGGAGGACCGAACCGACUUACGUUGAAAAGUGAGCGGAUGAACUGAGGGUAGCGGAGAAAUUCCAAUCGAACCUGGAGAUAGCUGGUUCUCUCCGAAAUAGCUUUAGGGCUAGCCUCAAGUGAUGAUUAUUGGAGGUAGAGCACUGUUUGGACGAGGGGCCCCUCUCGGGUUACCGAAUUCAGACAAACUCCGAAUGCCAAUUAAUUUAACUUGGGAGUCAGAACAUGGGUGAUAAGGUCCGUGUUCGAAAGGGAAACAGCCCAGACCACCAGCUAAGGUCCCAAAAUAUAUGUUAAGUGGAAAAGGAUGUGGCGUUGCCCAGACAACUAGGAUGUUGGCUUAGAAGCAGCCAUCAUUUAAAGAGUGCGUAAUAGCUCACUAGUCGAGUGACACUGCGCCGAAAAUGUACCGGGGCUAAACAUAUUACCGAAGCUGUGGAUUGUCCUUUGGACAAUGGUAGGAGAGCGUUCUAAGGGCGUUGAAGCAUGAUCGUAAGGACAUGUGGAGCGCUUAGAAGUGAGAAUGCCGGUGUGAGUAGCGAAAGACGGGUGAGAAUCCCGUCCACCGAUUGACUAAGGUUUCCAGAGGAAGGCUCGUCCGCUCUGGGUUAGUCGGGUCCUAA